ACCUGGCUGGUUCAACUGCAAGAGCAUGUGACUCUUGAUCUCAGGAUUGUGAGUUCAAGCCCCACGCUGGGUA
Molecule: transfer RNA, 73 nt
Filed under: Canis lupus familiaris (dog)
Lineage: Eukaryota; Metazoa; Chordata; Mammalia; Carnivora; Canidae
Also listed under: 1 other name
Rfam family: tRNA
About the family: Transfer RNA (tRNA) molecules are approximately 80 nucleotides in length. Their secondary structure includes four short double-helical elements and three loops (D, anti-codon, and T loops).
Source: Rfam by way of RNAcentral